AGCAGCCGCGGUAAUUCCAGCUCCAAUAGCGUAUAUUAAAGUUGUUGCAGUUAAAAAGCUCGUAGUUGAAUUUCGGGGUUAGUAGGUUGGUCAUGCCUCUGGUAUGUACUGGUCUCACUGAUUCCUCCUUCCUGAUGAGCCGUAAUGCCAUUAAUUUGGUGUUGCGGGGAAUUUGGACUGUUACUUUGAAGAAAUUAGAGUGUUUAAAGCAAGCUAACGCUUGAAUACAUUAGCAUGGAAUAAUGAAAUAGGACGUUCGAUCCUAUUUUGUUGGUUUCUAGGAUUGACGUAAUGAUUAAUAGGGAUAGUUGGGGGCAUUAGUAUUCAAUUGUCAGAGGUGAAAUUCUUGGAUUUAUUGAAGACUAACUACUGCGAAAGCAUUUGCCAAGGAUGUUUUCAUUAAUCAAGAACGAAAGUUAGGGGAUCGAAGACGAUCAGAUACCGUCGUAGUCUUAACCAUAAACUAUGCCGACUAGGGAUCGGAUGAUGUUAAUUUUUAAUGA
Molecule: ribosomal RNA, 503 nt
Filed under: uncultured Glomus
Lineage: Eukaryota; Fungi; Glomeromycota; Glomeromycetes; Glomerales; Glomeraceae
Description: SSU rRNA
Rfam family: Eukaryotic small subunit ribosomal RNA
Source: RNAcentral